ACAACGACCACAAUGCAAUUAGCAGUAACCGCAAUGACAACAAUCGCAAAACUCAAAAACUACAAUUUAAAACUAUGACAACGCAUACUUGUAAGAUUAUUAAGAAACUGGCCUAACAGUUCAUUUUAAAUGGAUUUAACAAGUGUAAUUUUUAUAUUAGUGAUCUUGUAUAUAAAAAUAUUAAUCUAAAAGCAACAUAUUUUAAAAAUCUCAAAAGCUUAAAAAAAUUAUUACAACUCUUAUAUAAAAAGAAAAAGUAUUAAAAAAAC
This 269-nucleotide long non-coding RNA is filed under the name Lathyrus oleraceus (garden pea). Its description in RNAcentral is "Pisum sativum (pea) long non-coding RNA (PSAT_LNC035508)". Lineage: Eukaryota; Viridiplantae; Streptophyta; Magnoliopsida; Fabales; Fabaceae. The record is from RNAcentral.